Molecule: long non-coding RNA, 214 nt
Filed under: Lathyrus oleraceus (garden pea)
Lineage: Eukaryota; Viridiplantae; Streptophyta; Magnoliopsida; Fabales; Fabaceae
Description: Pisum sativum (pea) long non-coding RNA (PSAT_LNC039174)
Source: RNAcentral
UUUGCCCUCCUCAUUCAUGCAUUCAUUUUUAGGUCAUUUAACAUUAGAUACAUUGCAUUUCAUCAUGUCAAUCAGAAUCAUAUCUAAGAAACUUUAUUUUAAAAAAAAAAUAAAAAAAAACGGAAAAAAAAAACGGAAAAAAAAUGGAAAAAAAAACGAAAAAAAAUAAAUAAAUAAAUAAAUAAAUAAAUAAAUAAAAUUAAAUAAAUAAAUA